UCGGGAAUUUUGGGCAAUGGGCGAAAGCCUGACCCAGCAACGCCGCGUGAAGGAUGAAGUAUUUCGGUAUGUAAACUUCGAAAGAAUAGGAAGAAUAAAUGACGGUACUAUUUAUAAGGUCCGGCUAACUACGUGCCAGCAGCCGCGGUAAUACGUAGGGACCAAGCGUUGUUCGGAUUUACUGGGCGUAAAGGGCGCGUAGGCGGCAAUUCAAGUCAUCUGUGAAAUCUCCGGGCCUAACUCGGAACGGUCAGAUGAUACUGCUUUGCUAGAGUGCAGAAGGGGCAAUCGGAAUUCUUGGUGUAGCGGUGAAAUGCGUAGAUAUCAAGAGGAACACCUGAGGUGAAGACGGGUUGCUGGGCUGACACUGACGCUGAGGCGCGAAAGCCAGGGGAGCAAACGGGAUUAGAUACCCAAGUAGUCCCUGAGCGGGCUGGCAAGGCGCAU
RNAcentral lists this ribosomal RNA (447 nucleotides) under uncultured bacterium. Its description in RNAcentral is "bacterial SSU rRNA". It matches the Rfam family "Bacterial small subunit ribosomal RNA", at positions 355 to 825 of the family's 1533-position model. The record is from RNAcentral.